RNAcentral lists this long non-coding RNA (209 nucleotides) under Musa acuminata (dwarf banana). Its description in RNAcentral is "long non-coding RNA (MACU_LNC011895)". The record is from RNAcentral. Lineage: Eukaryota; Viridiplantae; Streptophyta; Magnoliopsida; Zingiberales; Musaceae.
UGCAAUGUAAAGAUCGUACGAAAACACCUUUUGACGUCUGAAUGCAGAUUCGGAAAGAUUAGAACUUAGAAACUUGUUCGUAAAAGCGCAGAGAGCAGUAGCUAUGUAGGAGGUUUGCAGUAAUGAUAAAGAGCUCAAAAUAAACGCAAACCAAAGAUUUAGAGUGGUUCGGUCAGUCUUGACCUACUCCACUUUUGGCUUCCUCCACC